RNAcentral lists this ribosomal RNA (472 nucleotides) under uncultured bacterium. RNAcentral describes it as "bacterial SSU rRNA". It matches the Rfam family "Bacterial small subunit ribosomal RNA", at positions 28 to 496 of the family's 1533-position model. The record is from RNAcentral.
GAUGAACGCUGGCGGCGUGCCUAACACAUGCAAGUCGAACGGAGUCGUUUUGGAAAUCUCUUCGGAGAUGGAAUUCUCGACUUAGUGGCGGACGGGUGAGUAACGCGUGAGCAAUCUGCCUUUAAGAGGGGGAUAACAGUCGGAAACGGCUGCUAAUACCGCAUAAAGUAUCAAAUUCGCAUGUUUUUGAUGCCAAAGGAGCAAUCCGCUUUUAGAUGAGCUCGCGUCUGAUUAGCUGGUUGGCGGGGUAACGGCCCACCAAGGCGACGAUCAGUAGCCGGACUGAGAGGUUGAACGGCCACAUUGGGACUGAGACACGGCCCAGACUCCUACGGGAGGCAGCAGUGGGGAAUAUUGCGCAAUGGGGGGAACCCUGACGCAGCAACGCCGCGUGAUUGAAGAAGGCCUUCGGGUUGUAAAGAUCUUUAAUCAGGGACGAAGCAAAUGACGGUACCUGAAGAAUAAGCUCCGG